RNAcentral lists this ribosomal RNA (472 nucleotides) under uncultured bacterium. RNAcentral's name for it is "bacterial SSU rRNA". It matches the Rfam family "Bacterial small subunit ribosomal RNA", at positions 355 to 825 of the family's 1533-position model. The record is from RNAcentral.
UGGGGAAUAUUGGACAAUGGGCGAAAGCCUGAUCCAGCCAUGCCGCGUGUGUGAAGAAGGUCUUCGGAUUGUAAACUGCUUUUGUACGGAACGAAAAGGCUCUGGUUAAUACCUGGGGCAUAUGACGGUACCGUAAGAAUAAGCACCGGCUAACUACGUGCCAGCAGCCGCGGUAAUACGUAGGGUGCAAGCGUUAAUCGGAAUUACUGGGCGUAAAGCGUGCGCAGGCGGUUUUGUAAGACAGGCGUGAAAUCCCCGGGCUCAACCUGGGAAUUGCAUUUGAGACUGCACGGCUAGAGUGUGUCAGAGGGGGGUAGAAUUCCACGUGUAGCAGUGAAAUGCGUAGAUAUGUGGAGGAAUACCGAUGGCGAAGGCAGCCCCCUGGGAUAACACUGACGCUCAUGCACGAAAGCGUGGGGAGCAAACAGGAUUAGAUACCCCCGUAGUCCCUGAGCGGGCUGGCAAGGCGCAU